Molecule: unclassified non-coding RNA, 1348 nt
Filed under: Leishmania donovani
Lineage: Eukaryota; Euglenozoa; Kinetoplastea; Trypanosomatida; Trypanosomatidae
Description: gene:LdHU3.23.0540(CDS-product:hypothetical_prote in_conserved)
Source: RNAcentral
GCGCACAACUCAACGUCAUCACACACACGCUCUCCGAUUGACCCCGUUGCUGGCUGAACAUCGCCUGCUUUGACGUUCUCCGGAGCAUCCACGCUCUCUCGCUCGCUCCGUAGCGCUCGUCUCCGUGCCCACAGAAGGCGCGAGAGGCUGUUGAUAUCAACGGCCAUCAGCAUGCACGCACGCGCGCACACAUCCAGAGACGCAUCAGCUUCUUUUCCUUUCCUGUCCUACAUCAGCAUGGACUCCAUGAAGUCGAAGAGCGCGAUGCUCAUGACCAAGGGCAUCAUGGACAUGCGCAGCGACCCGCCACGACUCAUCUGCACCAUCUUGCGGUACAAGCACCCGGACACGAAGAAGGAGGUGACACUCUACCCGAUCCCGAACAUUGCCGCCCCUGCGUACUUCCAGCGCGUUUUGAAUGGCGACGCGCUGCAGCGCAACUUUGACAAGAUCCUCUGCGAGGACGGCCGGUUGCCCUUCCAGGCCGGUUCGGCGAGCGCCGCACGACAGCAAUGGCUGCGCCGCCUGCUUCCCUUUUUCAGCAUUCGCCCUGUCGUAGCAGACGGCGAAAAAUUCGAUGGCAUCAUCGUUCGCGACGCGCUAGAGUCACGCAUGGCGUAUCAGAUGGUGCUGGAAGGCUACGACCCGCCGGUGGAUCCGCGCGCCCGUCGCGCGAUGGAGCGGAUCGACACAUACCCGGAGAGCACGCGUGUCGUUGUCCCCUGGGGUGUCUAUCACAUGCCCUACUUCCGCUACCGCCUGGAGAAAGAGGGGUACAAGGCGCUGCCGUCGGAGGAGGUUGUUGCGUUUGGCUUCCACCAAGUGAUGGGCUUCUUCUUUCUUUCCGGUGUCAUGGUCUUCGCCAUUUCGUUUGUUGUUUUCCGCAUCUUGUUCGGCUAGUUGCAGCGGCUGAGGCGCCCCCCCCCUGUCCCCCACACACACAUGUGUGUGGCUGUGCGUGUGUACGAUGAUGCGAUAGCGGUUUUGCCAGGUCUUUAUUGCCCCAGGACAAAGAAUCCCAUUGGAUGUACGCGGAACCGGAAAUCAUGAGACUACGCGUCCACCGACGACCUCUGCUGCCCUGCACGCUGAGCGUGCCGUUCGCAUACAUACCACGUGUGUGUGUGUGUGCGCGCUCACGGCUGCCUCACUCCGACGGGCUCAUUACGAGGAAGAGAACGGAAGGGAGAGGUGAGGCCAGUUCGUCGGCGCUGGGCACGUUCUCCUCUCUCAUAUCACGCCUCCCCCUUCCCCUCUUUUGGUCUCUCUGUGCUCACUGGGGUUUGCUUUUUCGUUUUCCCGGCUCUUACAUGCGCGCAUCACCCAACUCACAUGCGCGCGUCAUCAG